GUGGGGAAUUUUGGACAAUGGGCGCAAGCCUGAUCUAGCCAUGCCGCGUGAGUGAUGAAGGCCCUAGGGUUGUAAAGCUCUUUCAGCUGGGAAGAUAAUGACGGUACCAGCAGAAGAAGCCCCGGCUAACUCCGUGCCAGCAGCCGCGGUAAUACGGAGGGGGCUAGCGUUGUUCGGAAUUACUGGGCGUAAAGCGCGCGUAGGCGGACUGAAAAGUUGGGGGUGAAAUCCCGGGGCUCAACCUCGGAACUGCCUUCAAAACUAUCAGUCUGGAGUUCGAGAGAGGUGAGUGGAAUUCCGAGUGUAGAGGUGAAAUUCGUAGAUAUUCGGAGGAACACCAGUGGCGAAGGCGGCUCACUGGCUCGAUACUGACGCUGAGGUGCGAAAGCGUGGGGAGCAAACAGGAUUAGAUACCCUUGUAGUCC
RNAcentral lists this ribosomal RNA (425 nucleotides) under uncultured bacterium. Its description in RNAcentral is "partial 16S ribosomal RNA". It matches the Rfam family "Bacterial small subunit ribosomal RNA", at positions 354 to 796 of the family's 1533-position model. The record is from RNAcentral.